This 253-nucleotide ribosomal RNA is filed under the name uncultured bacterium. Its description in RNAcentral is "partial 16S ribosomal RNA". It matches the Rfam family "Bacterial small subunit ribosomal RNA", at positions 524 to 776 of the family's 1533-position model. The record is from RNAcentral.
GACAGAGGCCUCAAGCGUUAGGCGGAAUCACUGGGCUUAAAGCGUGUGUAGGCGGAUCGUUAAGUGUCUUGUGAAAUCCCACGGCUCACCCGUGGAACUGCUGGGCAUACUGGCGAUCUUGGGCCAACUAGGGGCAACUGGAACAAGCGGUGGAGCGGUGAAAUGCGUAGAUAUCGCUUGGAACGCCAAAGGUGAAAACAGGUUGCUGGGGUCGUGCCGACGCUGAGACACGAAAGCCAGGGGAGCAAACGGG